Molecule: long non-coding RNA, 811 nt
Filed under: Pongo abelii (Sumatran orangutan)
Lineage: Eukaryota; Metazoa; Chordata; Mammalia; Primates; Hominidae
Description: lincRNA
Source: RNAcentral
ACCCUGGAGAAAGAAUCUUACAAAGAAUACUAAAGAGCAUCCAAGUGUGAAGAAUGAAACACACAGAUGAGCCCCAAGAGGAUGAGGAAGGGACAGGCUGGGGGGGUCUGAUUCUCAUCUCCACCUUAACAGAAUGCACAUGAAGUCCAGGCAUGGUGUAGCCAAGGAGACCCACUAAGACCCCAAAAUCUUGGAAAUGAGGAUGCAGGGGCAAAGGAUGGCAUUAUAGGCACCCUGACUCCAGCUUGGGAGUGGGGCGUCCAGGGACCCUCCACGAUCGAUGACAACAGACUGAGGGGCAGCUGCAAAACAACUGGAACAAAUCAAACCAAGGCCAAACGUUAACUGCCUCUGGCAACUUCUCCUCUUUCUUCGCCUCUCUCCCAGGCCCCAGAAAGGCUAAAGGUUCAGGUCAUAAAAUCCAAACUCCCAGACCCACAAAUCAUCAUUUCCAGCCUGAGGGAGACACCCAAUCCUGCCAAGGUCUUCAAGGACACACAUUAGUCAUCGGAUCGGCCCUGCCCAUCCCACCUCCAAGGCCCUUUCAUUUCCACACUCCUCAGAUUGUUCCAUGAGGGGUAGCCAAAUAAAAAGUCCAGGAGGUUCUAAGGGAGCCCUGUGUCUUACCUGGAAUUGUGUGUUACUGGCAACUAACUCCUGGGGACUGACCCAGAGGAGCUAAGGUUGUCUUUUAGCCCCCCAAUGCAGAGGCCAGAAGACCUCACACUUUUACCAGCCACAAGCCAGAAAUCCCUUCUGUGAGCCACGACCUGCACAUGUGUCCUGAAUGAGAUUUGUUCUCCCAGGAGAA